GACGAACGCUGGCGGCGUGCUUAACACAUGCAAGUCGAACGGAGCGAAUGAAAGCUUGCUUUUAUGAGCUUAGUGGCAAACGGGUGAGUAACACGUAGACAACCUGCCGACAGGAUGGGGACAACAUUCCGAAAGGAAUGCUAAUACCGAAUGAAGUCGAGGGAAGGCAUCUUCCUUCGAUGAAAGAUGGCCUCUGAAUAUGCUAUCACCUGUUGAUGGGUCUGCGUCUGAUUAGCUGGUUGGUGAGGUAACGGCUCACCAAGGCGACGAUCAGUAGCCGGUCUGAGAGGAUGAACGGCCACAUUGGGACUGAGACACGGCCCAGACUCCUACGGGAGGCAGCAGUGGGGAAUCUUCCGCAAUGGGCGCAAGCCUGACGGAGCAACGCCGCGUGAGUGAAGAAGGUCUUCGGAUCGUAAAGCUCUGUUGACGGGGACGAACGUGCGGAGUGCGAAUAGCGCUUUUAAUGACG
This 472-nucleotide ribosomal RNA is filed under the name Selenomonas sp. oral taxon 149. RNAcentral's name for it is "bacterial SSU rRNA". It matches the Rfam family "Bacterial small subunit ribosomal RNA", at positions 28 to 474 of the family's 1533-position model. The record is from RNAcentral. Lineage: Bacteria; Bacillati; Bacillota; Negativicutes; Selenomonadales; Selenomonadaceae.